CGGAAGUAAAGUCGUAACAAGGUUCCGUAGGUGAACCUGCGGAAGGAUCAUUAAUAAUGGUCUACGUUUUUUAAGUAGACGCUUAAUAAUCCUACCCUUUGUGAAUUUGUUGUUUUGAAAUAAUUUUUUUUAAAAUUAUUGAUUGUCUUCCCUGUUGAAUUGUGUCUAAUGGCAAAUGAUUCGCAGGGAGUGUCAGUAAUUUUAAAAAGACCUUUUUUAAAAUUAAACUUUUUUGUAUUCAUUUGUCUAAAAUAUUUUUAUAAUAUAAAAACAACUUUGACAAUGGAUCUCUUGGUCCUCGCAACGAUGAAGACGCAGCAAAAUGCGAUAAGUAGUGUGAAUGCAGAAUACGUGAAUCAUCGAUCUUCGAACGCAUAUUGCACUUUUUAGUUUACUAAAAAAGUAUGUCUGUUGAGUAUCAGUAAAAUAUUCUCAUAAAACUUUUUGUUUUAUGGUUAUGAGUGUUUUACAACGAUACAAGUUGUUUCACUUUAAAUUUUUUUUAAAAUUUGAAUUUUUCUAAUUUAAAAUAAAAUUGGAUAAAUUUCCCGUAAAAAGGAUUAACCUAAACAUUUUAAUUUUUGAUUAGAAUUCUUCAAUUAUAAAGGAAAAUUUAACUAAAUAACUUGAUCUCAAUCAGAUAAGAGUACCCGCUGAACUUAAGCAUAUCAAUAAGCGGAGGAAAGAAACUAACAAGGAUUCCCUUAGUAACGGCGAGUGAAGCGGGAAGAGCUCAAAUUGAAAUCUUCAAGGUUUACCUUGACGAAUGUAGUUUAAAGAAGUGUUUUCUGUUGAAGUUUUGGUAAAAGUUCUUUGGAAUAGGACAUCAUAGAGGGUGAGAAUCCCGUAUUGACCAUUAUUUUCAGCUGUGUGAUACACUUCAAAGAGUCGGAUUGUUUGGGAAUGCAGUCCAAAAUGGGUGGUAAAUUUCAUCUAAAGCUAAAUAUUGGCGAGAGACCGAUAGCGAACAAGUACCGUGAGGAAAGAUGAAAAGAACUUUGAAAAGAGUUAACAGUACGUGAAUUGUCAAAAGGGAAGCGUUUGACACCAGUGUUGUUUCUCGAAAAUCAAUUAAAAAAGUUGGAUUUUGUGUUGUAUUGACUUAACAGCUUGCUUCACUCUUUUCUUGCUUUUUUAAUGCACUUUUCGUUAACAAGUCAACAUCAGCUUCUUUGUUGUAAAGGUCAUUGGAAGGUGGCUUUCUCUUCGGAGAAAGUGUUAUAGCCUUUGAUCUCUGCAAUCGGAGAGACUGAGGUCUGCAGCGUAGAUCCUUCGGGUUAGAUACAUUUGUGCUAAGCUACAGCUUUCAUAGACAACUUGUUGACUAUGUUUAGUCUUGUAACUUACCCGCUUAUGCUAUUUACCUACGCUUAGGAUGUUG
This 1381-nucleotide unclassified non-coding RNA is filed under the name uncultured Neocallimastigales. Its description in RNAcentral is "partial contains small subunit ribosomal RNA, internal transcribed spacer 1, 5.8S ribosomal RNA, internal transcribed spacer 2, and large subunit ribosomal RNA". The stretch from base 628 to 1381 matches the Rfam family "Eukaryotic large subunit ribosomal RNA", at positions 1 to 628 of the family's 3401-position model. The record is from RNAcentral. Lineage: Eukaryota; Fungi; Neocallimastigomycota; Neocallimastigomycetes; Neocallimastigales.